GGGAACCUGAGUUGGAUCCUAAAAAAAAAUCCAACAGCCGUAUGAAGAAAAAAAAGUGGCUACCAAAGAAAUCAAUUAUUGGUGCUGAUGGAGAGAUGAAACGGCAGCAAGCGUUGGACAGUGGGAAAGAAAAAUGCAUUAAUGACCAUCUCUCAAAUUUAAGACAAAAGGAACGCAUGAUUUUGCAGACCAAAGCAUCUAUCUUCUUCUUAAACUUCUCUCUCUCGAAAACGCUCAGCCUCUACCUUGCCGAGUUCCCAAACCCUAAUCGCGAACGAAACCCCCCAAAUGCCAAACGAAAAACAAUCACCAUGGAUCACCCUCAACACAAACAAAUCUCGCAUGGAAAGAAACAGUUACAGAUACAUUCGAAAAUUCAAAUACGAAGUAAUGAAAAAGGCGAGAAAACUACCAAGUCGAUAUGUUUCAGAAGUGAGCGACUAGAGUAACGGUGCUUCCUCUUAUAUCCUCUUACCGACGAUUUCAGUUAAACUCUUGUGAUGACAUGCUUGGUUCCCUGUGAAACAUUCCUUUUGGUUAUGUUUGUAACAGGAUGCUAUGAUGCUACGCAAUUCGUGCUGGCCUAAUGCAUACGUAGGAUGGAUAAGGAGACCAUUCCAGGAUGCUGUCAUGGAUGCAAGUACAUGGUCGAUGAAGAUUAGGUAUCACAGGGUGUUUAUGACUUUAACUGGUUACAAUUCUGGCAUCAUCAUCACUUCAUUUUUUUGACAGGUUGUAGUUGUGAAAUUAGUUUGUAGGUUCAACAGUAUUGAAUGGAUCUCCUCUUGCAAGCUUAAGUUUAUUUUUGAAAGUGGUAUUUGAGAAGAGUGAACUUAUUAUGCAUUCCUGUUCUUCGGAUAACUUGCAGGCAAGGCCCCCAUUAAGUUGAAGCAAUUUCGUCUGCUAUUUGGAUGAGUCAGAGGGUUUUGGUUGCAGCAAAGAUUAUUGUUUAGGAGACAUCGGUUAAUGAUGAUGCCACUGUGGCCAGGAGUUAUGUGCAGGAAAAAAGCAAGUUAGCCGACGACCGUCACGGAUCCUGCCCUUGAUUAUCAGCCUACGACUCUGUUUCAGCUGUGUUUUCAAAAAUGUGCCCUCCACAAAGCUCACCUGAAUAAUCCAGAUCGGGCAUGUGAGGAACCAAGUAGAGGUUCUGAUGAUUUCCAACGAGAAGAAGCGGUAUGAGCAGUUGCUAACACCCUAGCUGAAGGCAUAGAACCUUGAAGCAUUUGAGCUACUUGUACUGACUUGAGAAGCACUAUUUCCAGGCUGUUGAUCAAUUUUAAGUGAAUCAGGUUGAGAUGUGCUUAAUGACUCAGAAUGCCCCUGACAGUUAUGUUGCAAUGUCGUCUGAAUAUUUGGUUUCGUUUGAUUAAUUUGCUUAGACUGUGUCUGAGAUUGCACCUGCAGUUGGUGAUGGUUGGGAGCAACAGCAGCAGGCUGUGUUGGUGUAGCUAUAUGACCUUAAAUAACCGGUGAAACUGGAACUUGUAUGUUACUGUCAUAAGAAGUUGCCAAUGGCUUAUGUUGCUUCAAUGAAGACCUGGUUGAUCCAGAAUGUAGCUUCUGCUGCAAUUGGCAAUUAUUAGAAGGAUGAGCAGAACCUGGUGGCUUGGGUGGUUCGCUUGGGUCUAAACCAGAUCCAAAACAUAAAGCUUGCUCCUGCAUCAUUUGUGUGUUUUGAUUACUUUUCUCAAUAGGUUGGCUUCCUGAAGCAGUUGCCUUUCCUUUGCCAAUUGGAUUGCAUAGGCCUGUUAUGAAUUUGAGGCAUGGUUUUGUAUAUGUUGUACUGAUGCUUAGGUCAUGUGCUUUGGUCAUUGUAUGGUGUACGUCAGCAUGUGAGUUGUUUUUUGGUUGUAAUGAGAAUGGACAAGGUUUAUGUGUUUUGGUUAUAAUAAUUUAUGUAAUACAGUUUUGGCUUUUUGGCUUUUGAAAUGAACAUGGUUUGUAUUA
This is a long non-coding RNA of Lathyrus oleraceus (garden pea), 1950 nucleotides long. RefSeq lists it as uncharacterized. The record is from RefSeq and is a predicted model, not a curated record. Lineage: Eukaryota; Viridiplantae; Streptophyta; Magnoliopsida; Fabales; Fabaceae. The transcript is spliced from 4 exons.